AGAGCUGUGCCCGAACGUCCAGGGACCACUUUGAUAGAGUGCUUUAUGGGGGCUAAAAUCCCCCCAGCUCUU
This 72-nucleotide transfer RNA is filed under the name Megalamphodus sweglesi. Its description in RNAcentral is "Hyphessobrycon sweglesi tRNA-Ile". The record is from RNAcentral. Lineage: Eukaryota; Metazoa; Chordata; Actinopteri; Characiformes; Acestrorhamphidae.